GUCGGGAAUUUUGGGCAAUGGGCGAAAGCCUGACCCAGCAACGCCGCGUGAAGGAUGAAAUCCCUCGGGAUGUAAACUUCGCAAGAAUGGGAAGAAUGAACGAGCGCUAAUACCGUUCGUGAUGACGGUACCAUUUGUAAGCUCCGGCUAACUCCGUGCCAGCAGCCGCGGUAAUACGGGGGGAGCAAGCGUUGUUCGGAUUUACUGGGCGUAAAGGGCGCGUAGGCGGCCAGCGCAAGUCAGUUGUGAAAUCUCCGGGCUUAACUCGGAAAGGUCAACUGAUACUGCGCGGCUAGAGUGCGGAAGGGGCAACUGGAAUUCUCGGUGUAGCGGUGAAAUGCGUAGAUAUCGAGAGGAACACCUGCGGCGAAGGCGGGUUGCUGGGCCGACACUGACGCUGAGGCGCGAAAGCCAGGGGAGCGAACGGGAUUAGAUACCCGUGUAGUCC
Molecule: ribosomal RNA, 448 nt
Filed under: uncultured bacterium
Lineage: Bacteria
Description: bacterial SSU rRNA
Rfam family: Bacterial small subunit ribosomal RNA
Source: RNAcentral